This is a non-coding RNA of Stereum hirsutum FP-91666 SS1, 98 nucleotides long. The record is from the annotation of a RefSeq genome assembly. Lineage: Eukaryota; Fungi; Basidiomycota; Agaricomycetes; Russulales; Stereaceae.
UCCCGCUUAGCUCAGCGGUAGUAGCGCUUCACUAGUAUCGGGUUGCUUUGUCAGUCCUAGCUAUGAAGAGGUCAGUCGUUCAAAUCGGCUAGUGGGAA